RNAcentral lists this long non-coding RNA (446 nucleotides) under Mus pahari (shrew mouse). RNAcentral's name for it is "predicted gene 16554 (MGP_PahariEiJ_G0002804.1)". Lineage: Eukaryota; Metazoa; Chordata; Mammalia; Rodentia; Muridae. The record is from RNAcentral.
AAACAGCAAAGGCAAUACAGUCUUAAGGAGGCGGCAGGGAGCCUUUCCUGGGCGACCUGACACAGGCCAAUGACCAAUGACCGUGUCCUGACCUUUUCUUGAAAAGAAGCUGCGUCUGGUCCUGCUGGGGAAAUGGCUUCAUGGCAUCCUGGAGGUAAAAAAGAUGUGAGUACAGUAUCCUCCUGUCACUCUCAGGAGAUCCUUCCUGAGUGUGUGCUUCUCUUGUCCUAAGAUCCUCUUAUGACCUAAUGGAGCAGGUCCCAGAGCGCUCACCUCUGCCGUGACGGCUCUGGAAGGUUUGCACAUCUGCAAUGGUCCGGGAGACCAAGGCUGCUGUAGCAGUAACUCCGAGUCUCCCAGAACACCCCACAGCCCCCCUGAAUACCCUGUCAGAUUCUCUGAACACCCUUUGGGCCUCUGGGAAGCCAUGAGCACGGUGAGCCUGC